RNAcentral lists this ribosomal RNA (497 nucleotides) under uncultured bacterium. Its description in RNAcentral is "partial 16S ribosomal RNA". It matches the Rfam family "Bacterial small subunit ribosomal RNA", at positions 28 to 507 of the family's 1533-position model. The record is from RNAcentral.
GAUGAACGCUGGCGGCGUGCCUAAUACAUGCAAGUCGAGCGAACAGACGAGGCGCUUGCUCCUCUGACGUUAGCGGCGGACGGGUGAGUAACACGUGGAUAACCUACCUAUAAGACUGGGAUAACUUCGGGAAACCGGAGCUAAUACCGGAUAAUAUAUUGAACCGCAUGGUUCAAUAGUGAAAGACGGUUUUGCUGUCACUUAUAGAUGGAUCCGCGCCGCAUUAGCUAGUUGGUAAGGUAACGGCUUACCAAGGCGACGAUGCGUAGCCGACCUGAGAGGGUGAUCGGCCACACUGGAACUGAGACACGGUCCAGACUCCUACGGGAGGCAGCAGUAGGGAAUCUUCCGCAAUGGGCGAAAGCCUGACGGAGCAACGCCGCGUGAGUGAUGAAGGUCUUCGGAUCGUAAAACUCUGUUAGUAGGGAAGAACAAAUGUGUAAGUAACUAUGCACGUCUUGACGGUACCUAAUCAGAAAGCCACGGCUAACUACGUG